Molecule: ribosomal RNA, 305 nt
Filed under: uncultured bacterium
Lineage: Bacteria
Description: bacterial SSU rRNA
Rfam family: Bacterial small subunit ribosomal RNA
Source: RNAcentral
GAUCUCCUACGGGGCGCAGCAGUGGGGGAUAUUGCGCAAUGGGCGAAAGCCUGACGCAGCGACGCCGCGUGAGGGAUGAAGGUUUUCGGAUCGUAAACCUCUGUCAGAAGGGAAGAAAGUGCGUGGUGCUAAUCAGCCGCGUAUUGACGGUACCUUCAAAGGAAGCACCGGCUAACUCCGUGCCAGCAGCCGCGGUAAUACGGAGGGUGCGAGCGUUAAUCGGAAUUACUGGGCGUAAAGCGCACGUAGGCUGUUGUGUAAGUCAUGGGUGAAUACCCACGGCGCAACCGUGGAACUGCCCUUGA